This 284-nucleotide long non-coding RNA is filed under the name Setaria italica (foxtail millet). RNAcentral describes it as "long non-coding RNA (SITA_LNC007364)". Lineage: Eukaryota; Viridiplantae; Streptophyta; Magnoliopsida; Poales; Poaceae. The record is from RNAcentral.
ACGACGACUCGAGUGCCGUGGCUCAGGAACGCCAGGAUCGCUACUUUGCUAUCGGAAAAGGUAGUAUCAGAUGGGUGGAUUAAUAUACGCAUCCAGUUGAUGAUGAAUAGGCUCGUAGCAAAAUAAAACUAGCGUGAUCCGUCCAAUCGCAUGAACUAGCUUUAAGCGCCACGAAAGUAAACUCAGCGUCCACUUGGUGGAGAUGGAUACAGCCUUGCUGGAAACUGGCAGGCCGUACCAGGUUUCGGAAUCGCACGGUUCCGCCUUUGAAGCUACUGUCAGCG